GAGGGAGAGAAGAGGGACGGCGAGAGAAGCUGAGAACGUGGACAGCAACGUUUCUGAACCGUGUUCAUCACCAAAGCUUCUUCUUUUCAGACCAAGAACCCAAGAUGGUCGUGAAGAUAAUGGCGAUGACUCAUUCUUGGGAGUUGAUGCUACGUGACGUGCCAAUACCGGAGGACGACUACACUUCAGAGGAAGAGGAAGAGGCUAAGGAAUAGGGUUUUGGUUGAGAGUCUUUUGUUUUCUGUUGGGGUUGAGAGUUUCCGAAGUGUUGGUAUCGAACAAUUUUAUUGCUUAAAUUCGAAUGAACAAGUUUUGAUGUAAUCUUUAUUUUCAUUCAGGCCUUUGA
Long non-coding RNA from Lotus japonicus, 346 nucleotides. RefSeq lists it as uncharacterized. The record is from RefSeq and is a predicted model, not a curated record. The transcript has 2 exons. NCBI's taxonomy places the organism in Eukaryota, Viridiplantae, Streptophyta, Magnoliopsida, Fabales, Fabaceae.